RNAcentral lists this ribosomal RNA (385 nucleotides) under uncultured soil bacterium. RNAcentral's name for it is "bacterial SSU rRNA". It matches the Rfam family "Bacterial small subunit ribosomal RNA", at positions 26 to 412 of the family's 1533-position model. The record is from RNAcentral.
AGGACGAACGCUGGCGGCGUGCCUAAUGCAUGCAAGUCGAGCGACGAAUAGGUGCGGGUAACCAAGCCUAUUACGGAGCGGCGAACGGGUGAGUAACACGCGAGCAACCUGCCCCGCAGACCGGGAUAGCCCAGGGAAACUUGGAUUAAUACCGGAUAUUCUCUUCAAACCACAUGGUCCGAAGAGGAAAGCCUUUGUGCUGCGGGAUGGGCUCACGGCCUAUCAGCUGUGUGGGUAACGGCUACAAGGCGUCGACGGUAGCUGGUCUGAGAGGACGAUCAGUCCACACUGGGACUGAGACACGGCCCAGACUCCUACGGGAGGCAGCAGCAGGGAUUUGCGCAAUGGCGGAAGCCUGACGCAGCAACGCCGCGUGGGGAUGGAA